ACUGGACGUUGCAUUAUUUCUAUGUAUUUCAUUCCACAGGGCUGUUGCUAACGAAAAAGUAAGAAUGUAAUGUUCAAUUUCUUCUUUACUUCCCUAGCAAAGAUGACGUUCAUUACUUCGAUUCUGAAGAAGUCCACUUGAUUCUAAAAACUAUUUGCAUGGUUGUCGGCCCCAGAUUACUUUCCACCAAUAUUGAAGCUUAACUCUUGGAGCUGCAUGUUGGCAGCGACCCGCACCGGAACCCACUCACACCGGUACAACCACCAACGUCGGACAAGCAAAGAGAGAAGCAAACGGAUAAGCACUCUCU
This 310-nucleotide long non-coding RNA is filed under the name Phoenix dactylifera (date palm). Its description in RNAcentral is "long non-coding RNA (PDAC_LNC008216)". Lineage: Eukaryota; Viridiplantae; Streptophyta; Magnoliopsida; Arecales; Arecaceae. The record is from RNAcentral.